GGUUAGCUCAGUUGGUAGAGCGCUCCACCUGUAAUGGAGAGGUCCCGGGUUCGAUACCCGGACCAGGCG
Molecule: transfer RNA, 69 nt
Filed under: Ixodes scapularis (black-legged tick)
Lineage: Eukaryota; Metazoa; Arthropoda; Arachnida; Ixodida; Ixodidae
Rfam family: tRNA
About the family: Transfer RNA (tRNA) molecules are approximately 80 nucleotides in length. Their secondary structure includes four short double-helical elements and three loops (D, anti-codon, and T loops).
Source: Rfam by way of RNAcentral